RNAcentral lists this ribosomal RNA (91 nucleotides) under Bifidobacterium scardovii. Lineage: Bacteria; Bacillati; Actinomycetota; Actinomycetes; Bifidobacteriales; Bifidobacteriaceae. The record is from RNAcentral.
GCCCGGUCCCAUUCCGAACCCGGAAGCUAAGGCCUGGCACGGCGAUGGUACUGCACUCGACAGGGUGUGGGAGAGUAGCACACCGCCGCAU